This 1432-nucleotide ribosomal RNA is filed under the name uncultured bacterium. Its description in RNAcentral is "16S ribosomal RNA". It matches the Rfam family "Bacterial small subunit ribosomal RNA". The record is from RNAcentral.
UUAACACAUGCAAGUCGAGGGGCAGCAUGGUCUUUUCUUGCUAAGGCCGAUGGCGACCGGCGCACGGGUGAGUAACACGUAUCCAACCUGCCGUCUACUCUUGGACAGCCUUCUGAAAGGAAGAUUAAUACAAGAUGGCAUCAUGAGUCCGCAUGUUCACAUGAUUAAAGGUAUUCCGGUAGACGAUGGGGAUGCGUUCCAUUAGAUAGUAGGCGGGGUAACGGCUCACCUAGUCUUCGAUGGAUAGGGGUUCUGAGAGGAAGGUCCCCCACAUUGGAACUGAGACACGGUCCAAACUCCUACGGGAGGCAGCAGUGAGGAAUAUUGGUCAAUGGGCGAGAGCCUGAACCAGCCAAGUAGCGUGAAGGAUGACUGCCCUAUGGGUUGUAAACUUCUUUUAUAAAGGAAUAAAGUCGGGUAUGGAUACCCGUUUGCAUGUACUUUAUGAAUAAGGAUCGGCUAACUCCGUGCCAGCAGCCGCGGUAAUACGGAGGAUCCGAGCGUUAUCCGGAUUUAUUGGGUUUAAAGGGAGCGUAGAUGGAUGUUUAAGUCAGUUGUGAAAGUUUGCGGCUCAACCGUAAAAUUGCAGUUGAUACUGGAUAUCUUGAGUGCAGUUGAGGCAGGCGGAAUUCGUGGUGUAGCGGUGAAAUGCUUAGAUAUCACGAAGAACUCCGAUUGCGAAGGCAGCCUGCUAAGCUGCAACUGACAUUGAGGCUCGAAAGUGUGGGUAUCAAACAGGAUUAGAUACCCUGGUAGUCCACACGGUAAACGAUGAAUACUCGCUGUUUGCGAUAUACUGCAAGCGGCCAAGCGAAAGCGUUAAGUAUUCCACCUGGGGAGUACGCCGGCAACGGUGAAACUCAAAGGAAUUGACGGGGGCCCGCACAAGCGGAGGAACAUGUGGUUUAAUUCGAUGAUACGCGAGGAACCUUACCCGGGCUUAAAUUGCAGAUGAAUUACGGUGAAAGCCGUAAGCCGCAAGGCAUCUGUGAAGGUGCUGCAUGGUUGUCGUCAGCUCGUGCCGCGAGGUGUCGGCUUAAGUGCCAUAACGAGCGCAACCCUUGUUGUCAGUUACUAACAGGUUCCGCUGAGGACUCUGACAAGACUGCCAUCGUAAGAUGUGAGGAAGGUGGGGAUGACGUCAAAUCAGCACGGCCCUUACGUCCGGGGCUACACACGUGUUACAAUGGGGGGUACAGAGGGCCGCUACCACGCGAGUGGAUGCCAAUCCCCAAAACCUCUCUCAGUUCGGACUGGAGUCUGCAACCCGACUCCACGAAGCUGGAUUCGCUAGUAAUCGCGCAUCAGCCACGGCGCGGUGAAUACGUUCCCGGGCCUUGUACACACCGCCCGUCAAGCCAUGGGAGCCGGGGGUACCUGAAGUGCGUAACCGCGAGGAGCGCCCUAGGGUAAAACUGGUGACUGGGGCUAA